Molecule: ribosomal RNA, 484 nt
Filed under: uncultured bacterium
Lineage: Bacteria
Description: partial 16S ribosomal RNA
Rfam family: Bacterial small subunit ribosomal RNA
Source: RNAcentral
AUUGAACGCUGGCGGCAGGCCUAACACAUGCCAGUCGAGCGGAUGAAGGGAGCUUGCUCCUGGAUUCAGCGGCGAACGGGUGAGUAAUGCCUAGGAAUCUGCCUGGUAGUGGGGGAUAACGUCCGGAAACGGGCGCUAAUACCGCAUACGUCCUGAGGGAGAAAGUGGGGGAUCUUCGGACCUCACGCUAUCAGAUGAGCCUAGGUCGGAUUAGCUAGUUGGUGGGGUAAAGGCCUACCAAGGCGACGAUCCGUAACUGGUCUGAGAGGAUGAUCAGUCACACUGGAACUGAGACACGGUCCAGACUCCUACGGGAGGCAGCAGUGGGGAAUAUUGGACAAUGGGCGAAAGCCUGAUCCAGCCAUGCCGCGUGUGUGAAGAAGGUCUUCGGAUUGUAAAGCACUUUAAGUUGGGAGGAAGGGCAGUAAGUUAAUACCUUGCUGUUUUGACGUUACCAACAGAAUAAGCACCGGCUAACUUCGUG